Molecule: ribosomal RNA, 228 nt
Filed under: Arsenophonus endosymbiont of Bemisia tabaci Asia II 3
Lineage: Bacteria; Pseudomonadati; Pseudomonadota; Gammaproteobacteria; Enterobacterales; Morganellaceae
Description: partial 23S ribosomal RNA
Rfam family: Bacterial large subunit ribosomal RNA
Source: RNAcentral
GGAUAACAGGCUGAUACCGCCCAAGAGUUCAUAUCGACGGCGGUGUUUGGCACCUCGAUGUCGGCUCAUCACAUCCUGGGGCUGAAGUAGGUCCCAAGGGUAUGGCUGUUCGCCAUUUAAAGUGGUACGCGAGCUGGGUUUAGAACGUCGUGAGACAGUUCGGUCCCUAUCUGUCGUGGGCGAAGGAAGAUUGAGGGGGGCUGCUCCUAGUACGAGAGGACCGGAGUG